CAUUGUAACCCUAAGCCGAAGGCAUCUCCCUUGGUCCAUGACAGCACAAUUCAUGUGUACAGCAAUUGUGACAGCUCGUGCUGUUCCCCACAGGCUGACACACAGUGAGAGGAGAACUGGCAUUUUGGAAGUGGGGCUCCUCCAUCACAUGAGGUGCUAUACAAACGCAAAUUGAAAAUUGCAGUCCUUCUUCAAAACUGCUUAUGGCCCCAAAAGUCUGCUUUGUGACACAUAGCGUCACCACAACCUCCCUCAAGCCACCCAGAGGUGGAUGCACUGCUGUCCCACGGCACCUCAUGCCAGCUUGAAGCAUGCAUGCCAAUGGCAAAGCACCUGGCAAUCCUUCCAAAUAACAGGACAGCAUGGAGGCAAGGUGUUAAUAAAGUGUCACUGGCUCCUUCGCCUGGAACCCCGCGUCGCAAAGAUGGUUGUGAUGUCAAAAGCAGAUGGCUAUGUCGUCAGGGGGGAGAGAGAGAGAACUGGAGAAAACAUCUGAUGUGUGAGCAGUACCGUCUCUAAAUAGAAUAUUUUCCCCUUUUCCCAUGAAGCAUCGUGAGGUUUUUUAGCUCCUAUGUAUUCGUUUAACUCCUUGAGGCUCUAGACUUACACUUCCUUUGCACUAUGCUGCCCUAAUACGCAGCACACUCAAGAUUGCUGUUUCUUUGAGUUUAUUUCUAGGCAGCUAAUCGUUUUGCACCUGUUUACACACAAAACUUAAUAUAGCAGAGAUUAUUUUAACGAAACUUUCAUUCCAAGCUCCUCCAGUUGAUUUACAGCCAACAUACAUACAAAGCUUGAAGUCAACCAGUAAGCACCAGGAUGCCAGGCUUCAAACUUGUACAUUAUAUUUGUACAUUACGCAUCAUACUUCAGAUGGGUGCAUUGUAAUUUUAAAGAACGUAAUCAGACUGCUUUCCUCCUGUCAGAGCACUAUAUAUACCCAAGCAGAUGGGAAAGUUCAGUGGAUACAGCAACAGGUUACUCUUGCACAGUACAGAAUAUCCCAAGUUGGAAGGGAUCCACAGGUAUCAUAGAGUCCAAAUCCUGGAUCCAUGCAGCACCAGCCAAAAUCCAAACCCUACGUCUGAGAGCACUGUCCAAAGACUUCUUGGACUCCAGCAGCCAUUUAUGGUGACUAAAUUUCAGGGCAUCUUUGUCGCCCUUAUUAUCCAUGAACAACUCAAAUGACAAAACAACCAUCCAUUUUGAUACCAUUCCAUAAGACAAACCCUUAGAAUAUAACUGGCAGUCUCACCAACACUAUGCAUGCCAAAAAAAGGAUACAAUAUGCUGUGGAGAACAUACUCUUCUUCUCAACUUUAUAGUUGAACCAACUAGGGAGGUUGUCUUCCAACGUAAAGCACUCUUCCAAACUCAGCUCUAGUUUAAGUUAAUAAUAUGCAGAAAAGCAAGACUGUUCCUGUUACUAGAAUGGGAGAACUGUCCUU
This is a non-coding RNA of Meleagris gallopavo (turkey), 1448 nucleotides long. Lineage: Eukaryota; Metazoa; Chordata; Aves; Galliformes; Phasianidae. The record is from RefSeq and is a predicted model, not a curated record.